Oreochromis aureus is the source of this 1002-nucleotide long non-coding RNA. Lineage: Eukaryota; Metazoa; Chordata; Actinopteri; Cichliformes; Cichlidae. The record is from Ensembl.
GACGAGAGAAGGAGAAGGUCAGGAAUAGUUUAAACUAAGAUUGAGAAAGUAAAUGGGGUGAAAGGGGGUGUAGCUUCAGGGCAGUUCACAGCCUGGCGUAAACGCAAGGUGCUGUCACACAGCUUAAGUUAUUUGGUUGAUUUAUUUUAUGACAAAAUAAUAAGGAAAUAUUAAAAAUAUACAACACGUUGAGAAGAUUUCUUAUGUUAUAUUUUAGUGUUUAACAUGGAAGAUGCCUCUCCGGAGCUUCUCUCCUGAUGCUACUCCACCAAAAGAAGUUCAUUUAUAGAGACUAUGUCAGCUCCCAAACAGACAACAACAAACCAAGAUUAGCAAUAAACAAUCUAAACAUAAAUAAUAACAAAUGAAGAACAAUACAGAAUCCAAAUCUGAACCAAAGAACAAAAUAGUGAAAUGCGGAUUAUUGGGUUUUUCUCUGUAUAUAUGAAGUAUUUGUAAUGUGUAUCUGCUAAUGAAGGCUUGUAGAGGCCAGUUUAUACUCACAAACGAGUGCUCAGCCAGACUGAAAAACAGGAAGCUUUAGUGCACAAGGCAUAUUAAUAAAUAUAGACACAAAAAGAGGAACUCCCCAUAUAAACAACGUUCAAAAUGUGUGAAGUAUAAAGUACCGAAAUAACACUAUAUAAGUCACAGUUGAUGAUUCUAAUGUUAGAGAGCUCUUGCAAUUGGCGUCUGAGCUGUGCAGAGGUCUCUCUUAAGACAGGUACUUAUGUAGGUUAGCAUGAGGUUGAGUUAAUUUUAUACACAAUGCAUAACUGUGCUUGUUUAGAGUUGAUGUUCUAUCCAAGAGGGUUUUAAGCUUCACUGGUGAGAGUGUCCAGGUGAUACAUGUUGAGGGAUGAUGAGAACAUAGCAGGUGAAUUGCAUGCGCGCUUACAAACACACAUGAUUUAAAUAUAGGCCAGGCCAAAGGCCUGGACUUGAUGCAGCUUUCAACUUUACAGCUCCUAACUUGCAGGAAUGGCGUGGAGUGUAAUGAAU